RNAcentral lists this ribosomal RNA (254 nucleotides) under uncultured bacterium. Its description in RNAcentral is "partial 16S ribosomal RNA". It matches the Rfam family "Bacterial small subunit ribosomal RNA", at positions 524 to 776 of the family's 1533-position model. The record is from RNAcentral.
UACGUAGGGUGCGAGCGUUGUCCGGAAUUAUUGGGCGUAAAGAGCUCGUAGGCGGUCUGUCGCGUCGAUCGUGAAAACUUGGGGCUUAACCCUGAGCUUGCGGUCGAUACGGGCAUGACUGGAGUUCGGCAGGGGAGACUGGAAUUCCUGGUGUAGCGGUGAAAUGCGCAGAUAUCAGGAGGAACACCGGUGGCGAAGGCGGGUCUCUGGGCCGAUACUGACGCUGAGGAGCGAAAGCCAGGGGAGCAAACGGG